This is a long non-coding RNA of Drosophila gunungcola (fruit fly), 1234 nucleotides long. RefSeq lists it as uncharacterized. The record is from RefSeq and is a predicted model, not a curated record. The transcript has 3 exons. NCBI's taxonomy places the organism in Eukaryota, Metazoa, Arthropoda, Insecta, Diptera, Drosophilidae.
UAUCAGUGUACACAAAUGGAGGGAAACAGGGAGUUGAUUGCAGAAGAGCCAGGGCCAGACGUUGGCAUAAUUUCGAUGCAGAAAUCUAACAGAAUACAAAUGCAAUCAUUGACUUUUUAGCUUAUAACGAAAUAAGCGUCGUGUUUAUUGGUUGGCUGAACGAGCGAGCACCAGACCCGAACCCCCCUUCGGCCUCCUGGAAAAACUGUGGAAAAUAGGAGCACAUUGCCGGAACUCUGGGGAGUGCACUUAUAAAUUCAAAGCCUUGGCUGGGCCACUAACUGGGUGGUAAUGACUGCUGGGUUAGAAUCAGCUGCAACUAAGAUUUACACACAAACUAAGCCUAAGGUGGCAAAAAUGCCCAGCCCAGGGAUUCAAUAAUGAUUUUUCAAUGGCAAGUUAUUAAAGCGAACUGUUUCGAAGGACAAAAGCUAUUCGAAUCGAUGGAAAAUCAGAAACCUUGACGAGCCCUGAUGAUGCCUGUAACUGUUGCAUUGUUUCCACUUCAGGUCAGCGAACAAAGGGCUGCAACACCAUCGCUCCUUGUUUGCAACAAUUUAAACAUUUGUUGUUUCCCAGGCCAGAGCGGUCUUUAGCACGUUUACAUUGAAUUAAACGCCGGAGGGAGAAGCUGGAACAGCAGAUAGCGACUGCAGCAGAAACAACAAUUUGCCGGCGAACAACAACUGCAAGUGCAGUCGAACAUGGCCAACUGAAAAUCAACACACAGACAAUGUUGCCCUGGCCAGAAGUGCGGGAACCUGGUCCAGAAACAGAUUCCAGUAACCAGUAGCCAGUAGCCAGUAACCAGUAAGCAGAAUACUGAAUCGAGUUGAGGAGAUGGAGACCCACAGGCGGAGCCGGAAAGUGAAACAAGCUCAGCUGAAGUGAAAGAAAAACAGACAACAGUCAAUCAAAACAAUGGCAACAAUGCGCUCGAGAAAAUUCUGAUAUUUCUGGUACUUUGUUCUUAUUUCGUUCAGCGAGACCCGGGCAUAUUAUUUAUUAUUAUUUUUGGGGCAUUAUAUAUCUACGUGCACUUCUCCACCGAUAUGCUAAUUGAAAUGUGAAAACGAAGAGAAUUCUCAAGCAUCAUUAUCGAGAGUAGGGAAACAAAAGAGUCUGUGCUCCAGAAAACUGAAUGAAAACGAGCCCUGGUUCUCAAUAAAUCGAAUUAUCAAGAACGGACUCUUAAUUAAAUGCAUUAACGAGGAAAAUACAAUGGUUAAUUUAU